This 253-nucleotide ribosomal RNA is filed under the name uncultured bacterium. RNAcentral's name for it is "partial 16S ribosomal RNA". It matches the Rfam family "Bacterial small subunit ribosomal RNA", at positions 524 to 776 of the family's 1533-position model. The record is from RNAcentral.
CACGUAGGGCGCGAGCGUUGUCCGGAAUUAUUGGGCGUAAAGAGCGUGUAGGCGGCCAGGUAGGUCAGCUGUGAAAACUCGAGGCUCAACCUCGAGACGCCGGUUGAAACCAUCUGGCUAGAGUCCGGAAGAGGAGAGUGGAAUUCCUGGUGUAGCGGUGAAAUGCGCAGAUAUCAGGAAGAACACCCGUGGCUAAGGCGGCUCUCUAGUACGGUACUGACGCUGAGACGCGAAAGCGUGGGGAGCGAACAGG